UGGGGAAUAUUGCACAAUGGGCGCAAGCCUGAUGCAGCCAUGCCGCGUGUAUGAAGAAGGCCUUCGGGUUGUAAAGUACUUUCAGCGGGGAGGAAGGGAGUAAAGUUAAUACCUUUGCUCAUUGACGUUACCCGCAGAAGAAGCACCGGCUAACUCCGUGCCAGCAGCCGCGGUAAUACGGAGGGUGCAAGCGUUAAUCGGAAUUACUGGGCGUAAAGCACACGCAGGCGGUUUGUUAAGUCAGAUGUGAAAUCCCCGGGCUCAACCUGGGAACUGCAUCUGAUACUGGCAAGCUUGAGUCUCGUAGAGGGGGGUAGAAUUCCAGGUGUAGCGGUGAAAUGCGUAGAGAUCUGGAGGAAUACCGGUGGCGAAGGCGGCCCCCUGGACGAAGACUGACGCUCAGGUGCGAAAGCGUGGGGAGCAAACAGG
This 429-nucleotide ribosomal RNA is filed under the name Chloroflexota bacterium. Its description in RNAcentral is "Chloroflexi bacterium partial 16S ribosomal RNA". It matches the Rfam family "Bacterial small subunit ribosomal RNA", at positions 355 to 776 of the family's 1533-position model. Lineage: Bacteria; Bacillati; Chloroflexota. The record is from RNAcentral.